Molecule: ribosomal RNA, 253 nt
Filed under: uncultured bacterium
Lineage: Bacteria
Description: partial 16S ribosomal RNA
Rfam family: Bacterial small subunit ribosomal RNA
Source: RNAcentral
UACGGAGGGUGCAAGCGUUAUCCGGAUUCACUGGGUUUAAAGGGUGCGUAGGUGGCUUUGUAAGUCAGUGGUGAAAGCCUGGAGCUUAACUCCAAAACUGCCAUUGAUACUGCUUAGCUUGAAUCAACUUGAGGUGGAUGGAAUGUAACAUGUAGCGGUGAAAUGCUUAGAUAUGUUACAGAACACCAAUUGCGAAGGCAGUUCACUAAAGUUGUAUUGACACUGAGGCACGAAAGCGUGGGGAUCAAACAGG